AUGAUCGGACCUGAUCUCUCCAUCGUUGACUGGAAUACCCGCGGGCUAAACGACCAAGGUCGCAAAGACACCGUCCACGCCUUCCUCGCCAAUACUCGCUGUCAUAUCGCUUGCAUCCAAGAGACCAAGCUCGACCACGUCGAUCAACAAACGGCUUCUUAUAUCAGUGGUCAUAGUCUUCGCUCCUUGGCUCACCGUCCGGCCAUCGGCACCAAGGGCGACAUCCUCUUACUCUGGAACGAGGAUCAUGUGGAGGUCUCCAACGUUCACCUCGGCACUUACUUGAUCUCGGCUAGCAUCUCCAUUCGCGCAUGUGGUACCUCCUUCAAGCUCACUACGGUCUAUGGCCCUACAGAUCACGCCGAGAAAGAAGCCUUUCUCUCAGAAGCUAUCGCUGCCAAGCCUUCUGAUGACUCAAAAUGGCUCAUCAUUGGGGAUUUCAACCUUAUCUACCAAGCGGAGGAUAAGAACAACAACAACCUGGACUUCCGCCUGAUGGGUCUCUUCAGAAGAGCCCUCACCAACUGUCAGCUUAAGGAGCUGAAGCUGCAGAACCGGAGGUUUACUUGGAGCAAUGAAAGGGAGACCCCUACUCUUGUGCGUCUGGAUCGGGCUUUCUGCAAUGCUGCUUGGGACCUCAUGUUCGAGAAUCAUGUGCUACAUGCCCUGUCCUCAUCCCUCUCGGACCACUGCCCCCUCCUCAUUUCCAACCAGAGUGGCCCGCGAAAACCGCCUGUCUUUCGCUUCGAGUCCUUCUGGACCAAAAUGCCGGGGUUCAAGGAGGUGGUCUAA
This 792-nucleotide ribosomal RNA is filed under the name Triticum aestivum (bread wheat). Its description in RNAcentral is "partial small subunit ribosomal RNA". The record is from RNAcentral. Lineage: Eukaryota; Viridiplantae; Streptophyta; Magnoliopsida; Poales; Poaceae.